Molecule: long non-coding RNA, 800 nt
Organism: Cannabis sativa
Lineage: Eukaryota; Viridiplantae; Streptophyta; Magnoliopsida; Rosales; Cannabaceae
Exons: 3
Source: RefSeq, a predicted model, not a curated record
UUAAGGGAUAUAGUUUAAGGUAUGUUAGCUAAAGCUUAAGGCUAUAAAUAGGGGUCAUUAGUGUAAACAUAGCUCACACCAAUCUCUAUUACAGAUUUACAUACAAAAAUUCCCUUGCAAUCACCCUCAUAUAUUCACUUAUUUCAUUUUAGAAUAAAGCCUUAACUCCUUAGCUCGGCUUAAUAUGUCACCAUAAAACCAAACACCACCCACAAACUAUUGUUUUCUUGUCCCUCAUUAACUCAAGGCUAAGACUCUAAGUUAACAUCAUCCUCUCAUAUAUCUUACAUCAUAUUGGCCUCACCAUACAUCUAUCAUUUUAAGUUCAAGUUUUGGUGCCCAACUAGAUCUCAUUGGAAGCUAAUUAAGGUUUUUCAUAAGAUAAUUAUUUCUCAAGGGUCACUUUCAUUGCAAUCAAGGCUAGGACUCCACAAUCGAGACCAAGGUAACUGAAAGUCUAGAAUGCCGGUGGCGAGUGAAACUUUGGACGCUUGUGUGUGUGAACUCGUUGAGGGCCAUAUAACUGCGGGCGGUCUAGGACACUCUAUUUAUUUAUUUACGCUAUUAAGUUUAUGUCGCAAUUAUUUCAGUUAUUAUUUAUUAUGUCUUUUGUACAAAAACUGGCCAGUUGUGAACAUUUUCAAGUAUUAAAUAAAAAUGCGACAUUAUAAUUUUCCGCAUUUAACGCUUGUAAAUAAAAUUAGUAUUUUUAUAAAAGUACGGGCGUUACAGAUAUUGACUUGGAAAGAUAUAUAUAACGGUAAGUUUGUAAUGUCUUAACUUAGUUGCAAUAUCGGUCC